AACGAACGCUGGCGGCAGGCUUAACACAUGCAAGUCGAACGCCCCGCGAGGGGAGUGGCGCACGGGUGAGUAACGCGGGGAUAGCUGCCUUUUGGUUCGGAAUAACCCCGGGAAACUGGGGCUAAUACCGGAUGGUUCCUACGGGAUAAAGAUUUAUCGCCAAAAGAUGAGUCCGCGUACGAUUAGCUAGUUGGUGAGGUAAUGGCUCACCAAGGCGACGAUCGUUAGCUGGUCUGAGAGGACGAGCAGCCACACUGGGACUGAGACACGGCCCAGACUCCUACGGGAGGCAGCAGUGGGGAAUAUUGGACAAUGGGGGCAACCCUGAUCCAGCCAUGCCGCGUGAGCGAUGAAGGCCUUCGGGUUGUAAAGCUCUUUUGGCGGGGACGAUGAUGACGGUACCCGCAGAAUAAGCCCCGGCUAACUUCGUG
Molecule: ribosomal RNA, 431 nt
Filed under: uncultured bacterium
Lineage: Bacteria
Description: partial 16S ribosomal RNA
Rfam family: Bacterial small subunit ribosomal RNA
Source: RNAcentral